AAGACCUUGCGCUUUUGGAGCGGCCGAUGCCUGAUUAGCUAGUUGGUGGGGUAAUGGCCUACCAAAGCUUCGAUCAGUAGCUGGUCUGAGAGGACGGCCAGCCACACUGGGACUGAGACACGGUCCAGACUCCUACGGGAGGCAGCAGUGGGGAAUUUUGGACAAUGGGGGCAACCCUGAUCCAGCCAUGCCGCGUGAGUGAAGAAGGCCUUCGGGUUGUAAAGCUCUUUCAGCCGGAACGAAACGGUUACGGUUAAUACCCGUGAUUACUGACGGUACCGGAAGAAGAAGCACCGGCUAACUACGUGCCAGCAGCCGCGGUAAUACGUAGGGUGCAAGCGUUAAUCGGAAUUACUGGGCGUAAAGCGUGCGCAGGUGGUUUUGUAAGUCAGAUGUGAAAUCCCCGGGCUUAACCUGGGAACU
RNAcentral lists this ribosomal RNA (423 nucleotides) under uncultured bacterium. RNAcentral's name for it is "bacterial SSU rRNA". It matches the Rfam family "Bacterial small subunit ribosomal RNA", at positions 207 to 622 of the family's 1533-position model. The record is from RNAcentral.